ACUGCUGGACAAGGAGUGUUCUGUUGAGCUCAUUUUCACACGAUGAACAACUGGCUUAGAACUGAUUCGGGCAAGGGGAAUCCGACUGUUUAAUUGAAACAAAGCAUUGCGAGGGCCUCAAAGGGUGGUGCCACAAUGUGAUUUCUGCCCAGUGCUCUGAAUGUCAAAGUGAGGAAAUUCAACUAAGCGCGGGUAAACGGCGGGAGUAACUAUGACUCUCUUAAGGUAGCCAAAUGCCUCGUCAUCCAAUUAGUGACGCGCAUGAAUGGAUUAAUGAGAUUCCCACUGUCCCCAUCUACUGUCCAGCGAAACCACAGCCAAGGGAACGGGCUUGGGUAAAUCAGCGGGGAAAGAAGACCCUGUUGAGCUUGACUYUAAUCUGACUUUGUGAAAUGACUUAGGAGGUGUAGGAUAUGUGGGAGCUCUGGUGAUCUUGAAAUACCACUACUYUUAAUGUCACUUUACUUACUCUAUCAGACUGUGGCCUGCUUCCCAGCAGGUUUUUGUUUCAAGGCAUCUCAUCUGACUUGUUGACUUGCGUAGAGGACGUARUCAGGUGGGCAGUUUGGCUGGGGCGGCACAU
This 583-nucleotide ribosomal RNA is filed under the name Gambierdiscus australes. RNAcentral describes it as "partial large subunit ribosomal RNA". Lineage: Eukaryota; Dinophyceae; Gonyaulacales; Pyrocystaceae. The record is from RNAcentral.